Molecule: ribosomal RNA, 492 nt
Filed under: uncultured bacterium
Lineage: Bacteria
Description: partial 16S ribosomal RNA
Rfam family: Bacterial small subunit ribosomal RNA
Source: RNAcentral
AGUGAACGCUGGCGGCAGGCCUAACACAUGCAAGUCGAACGGAAGCACAGUAAGCGUUCGCCCCUACGGGUGGCGAGUGGCGGAUGGGUGAGACAUACAUAGGAUUCUACUUUUUCGUGGGGGAUAACGUAGGGCAAGUUACGAUAACACAGCAUAUGUCCAACGGGAGAAUGCAGGAGAUCUUCGGACCUUGCGUGACUGAUUGAGACGAUGUCGGAUUAGCUAGUUGGCGAGGUAAAGGCCCACCAAGGCGACGAUCCGUAGCUGACCUGAGAGGAUGAUCGGCCACACUGGAACUGAGACACGGUCCAGACUCCUACGGGAGGCAGCAGUAGGGAAUAUUGGACAAUGGGCGAAAGCCUGAUCCAGCCAUGCCGCGUGAGUGAUGAAGGUCUUCGGAUUGUAAAGCUCUGUUAUUAGGGAAGAAAAACAGCGUAUGUAUACCCCGCUGUUCUGACGGUACCUAAUGAGAAAGCACCGGCUAACUUCGUG